Molecule: ribosomal RNA, 497 nt
Filed under: uncultured bacterium
Lineage: Bacteria
Description: partial 16S ribosomal RNA
Rfam family: Bacterial small subunit ribosomal RNA
Source: RNAcentral
GAUGAACGCUGGCGGCGUGCCUAAUACAUGCAAGUCGAGCGAACAGACGAGGAGCUUGCUCCUCUGACGUUAGCGGCGGACGGGUGAGUAACACGUGGAUAACCUACCUAUAAGACUGGGAUAACUUCGGGAAACCGGAGCUAAUACCGGAUAAUAUAUUGAACCGCAUGGUUCAAUAGUGAAAGACGGUUUUGCUGUCACUUAUAGAUGGAUCCGCGCCGCAUUAGCUAGUUGGUAAGGUAACGGCUUACCAAGGCAACGAUGCGUAGCCGACCUGAGAGGGUGAUCGGCCACACUGGAACUGAGACACGGUCCAGACUCCUACGGGAGGCAGCAGUAGGGAAUCUUCCGCAAUAGGCGAAAGCCUGACGGAGCAACGCCGCGUGAGUGAUGAAGGUCUUCGGAUCGUAAAACUCUGUUAUUAGGGAAGAACAAAUGUGUAAGUAACUAUGCACGUCUUGACGGUACCUAAUCAGAAAGCCACGGCUAACUACGUG